UACAGAGGGUGCGAGCGUUGUCCGGAAUCACUGGGCGUAAAGGGCGCGUAGGUGGCGGUUCAAGUCCAUGGUGAAAGCUCGAUGCUCAACAUCGAGUCGGCCACGGAUACUGGGUUGCUGGAGCACUGUAGGGGCAGAUGGAAUUCCGGGUGUAGCGGUGGAAUGCGUAGAGAUCCGGAAGAACACCGGUGGCGAAGGCGGUCUGCUGGGCAGUUGCUGACACUGAGGCGCGACAGCGUGGGGAGCAAACAGG
Molecule: ribosomal RNA, 253 nt
Filed under: uncultured bacterium
Lineage: Bacteria
Description: partial 16S ribosomal RNA
Rfam family: Bacterial small subunit ribosomal RNA
Source: RNAcentral